CCUACGGGGGGCUGCAGUGGGGAAUAUUGGACAAUGGGGGCAACCCUGAUCCAGCCAUGCCGCGUGUGUGAAGAAGGCCCUCGGGUUGUAAAGCACUUUCAGUGAGGAAGAACGCCUGGUGGUUAAUACCCAUCAGGAAAGACAUCACUCACAGAAGAAGCACCGGCUAACUCCGUGCCAGCAGCCGCGGUAAUACGGAGGGUGCGAGCGUUAAUCGGAAUUACUGGGCGUAAAGCGCGUGUAGGUGGCUUGAUAAGCCGGUUGUGAAAGCCCCGGGCUCAACCUGGGAACGGCAUCCGGAACUGUCAAGCUAGAGUGCAGGAGAGGAAGGUAGAAUUCCCGGUGUAGCGGUGAAAUGCGUAGAGAUCGGGAGGAAUACCAGUGGCGAAGGCGGCCUUCUGGACUGACACUGACACUGAGGUGCGAAAGCGUGGGUAGCAAACAGGAUUAGAUACCCUGGUAGUC
This 465-nucleotide ribosomal RNA is filed under the name Vreelandella stevensii. Its description in RNAcentral is "partial 16S ribosomal RNA". It matches the Rfam family "Bacterial small subunit ribosomal RNA", at positions 338 to 795 of the family's 1533-position model. The record is from RNAcentral. Lineage: Bacteria; Pseudomonadati; Pseudomonadota; Gammaproteobacteria; Oceanospirillales; Halomonadaceae.